CUGAAGCCAUGUUAAGAUUACAAAGCUGGUUGGUUCCUGUGCUCUAGGACUUGCCAGAGAGAUUCAUGAUCCGAUUCAGUUUGAAAUCUGAGUGAAGGAAUGCCACACCCAAAUGAGCUUUCUUCUCUCUGUUGUCCCCAUACAGAAAGAGGUCAAUUUCUCUGCAAUUCUUAGCACUUCAAUCUAUGAAAUCAUGGGGUUUAUUUCCAGGGUACUAAUAAAACCAUUACUUUAAGGGAAGGCUGUUUCCAACAAGACUAUAUGAAAACUUUCUACAAAUAGGCCAAUGUGUUCAUUGUUCAGAGCACUACUGAUUCAUUUCUGUCUCAGGGCCUUUGCUGUCUAUUCCCAUGAUAUGGAAUGCCUUUGCCCUGGUCUCCUGCUGAGACCAAACUCUAUUUCAACCUUCAAGGCCUAGCUUAAGAUGCACCUUCUCCCAAAAAAAUUCUCUUGGUCUUUAUCAACCUGCCCUUCCCCUCUUGUCUCCACCCCUAACCUGCUCAAAUAUAUUUCUUGUGGCAGGUGAUAUCCCAUGACAUAGCAUUCAGUACAGAAAAGGGCUAGGAGUACAGUAAGACAGCUUGAUUGAGGAGGUCUCGGAUUCCUGACAAUGGAAGUAUGGCCAGGUGCAGCUUAGUUCAUGUAGUUUGGGGAAAAACAGACCUGCCCAGGACUGAAUCCUCACUCUGACACUUACUAGCUAUGUAGCCUCAGGCAGAUUACUUUCCUUCCCUGGGCCGCAGUGUCCCUUUCAAAAAUGCCAUGGGGUUGCUUCCAGGCUAAAAUUGGUUUAGAUGACGACCACUUUCCUAAACAUUGGAGCUACAAAGAUGAGUAAGGUAAAGCCCUGAUCUUGAAAAACAGCUCAGAGUCUACAGACAAGCUAUUUGCAAUAGUUUCAGGCUCUUUGAGGGAAACAGUUAAGAGGUGUCAUGGGAAUAGUAAACUGAAAGCAGUAGGGAGUAGGGGAGAAACUGUGGAGUCUGGAGUGAUACCAGAAUUGCAGAUCUGUGCUGAAAGCUGGAGAAGAGUGGCAGUAGUAGGAAUGGAAGUGGAAGGAAGGAAUGGAGAAAAGGAAGAUUUGAGAGACAUUCCAAGUAGAGCAAAAUUACAGGCCUUGGCGCAUUUCAGACUUAAGAGGAUAGAGGAGAUUGGUGACGAAUCUUGACCAAAUUUCUAGCUAAGGAGACAGACACAGGCACCGAUAGAAAUGGAGUUAACUGGUUUGGGUAGUGGAAGAGAUCAACCUCUGCAGACAGCAGAUAUGUCUCACAAACAACUGAUGCCAAUCUUGAAGUCCAACAGCUUCUUUUUUCACAAGCCUACUGAGUCCUCUUCCUCAUCCCACCUCCAUCCCACUUGAUUUUACUGAGAAAGUUCACUGGUAUGUUGAACAGUCAACUAGGUUUGCGAGACCUAGGCAAACAGCAUGAACAACUAAUAAGAAGUACACUCCCCAUGCAUCUUUUUUAUUGGCUCUACUUGACUUUUAAAGUUAAAAUGACGUUAGCCUAGGAUAGCCCAGGUGUCUCUUGACCAUUCCUCCAAGAUUACAAAUAUCCAACUAUCCUCUGAAGCUGCCCGUGUAGAGCAAGGCAGUCUGGUCCGUUACAAUUGGAGGAUGGUACUUCCACAUUCUGAACCAGUAACUGUCACCCAGGACCAGCCAGAACCUGCUUUCUGUGGAACCCCCAACCUCCUCCUUUCCACCUCAGACACUGAGCAUGCUCACUGCAGAUUAAGAAGGAUGGCACAAAGGACAUUACCUAGAACAAGCCAGCGUGUAGACAUUCAACCCAUUAAAGCCGUCUGGGUAAGAUGUACUUCAUUCGCCAGAACUGUUGGAUAACCUAGGGAGCUUAAGAGAAUACUGGCCUUUCCAUCUUUGGUCACAAAAGGAGAGCUUAAACAGAAAUGCUGAGAAGGCAAGUAUAGCAGAGAAUGUGAAGAAAUCCCCGCCAUGGUACCCACAGCAGAUGUUUUCGAAGUUUGGGGAUGGUGAAGGACCCAGGGGACGGUGCCAAGGAGCAGCACGAGGUGCCGUGUGAUAAAUGGAGCUGUCUCUUUCCCAUUACAGGAACAUAGCAAGUUUCAAGAGCAAAUCAGAAACCUAGAAUGAUUAAUUGUGUAGUCUACAACGAGUCCUGUUGUGUUUGUCUAUGAAUCCCUUUGCUCUGAAGAUCAGACACACCAGGUGCAGAGAAACACCUGGCUAUGAUGAACCCUGUGAGUUUCUUAGUAACCCACUCCAAAAAAAAAAGGGGAACAGUGGUUUUGUUUACAGGUGAACAGUAGGAAGGGGAUCAAAGCUGGUGAGAAAACUGAAAUGGUGGAGUAAGAACAAAAGCAUCUCUCUAACAUCAAGCCAAGCGCUGUCAUAUCUCUGGCUUAGCUUCCUCUUUCUCUAUACCUGCUUGGCAUCAAUGAGGAACAAAGUAUUUUAAGGAAGUCAUAACUUCGUUCUUACUUAUUGCCACCCACCGAUUCCACUGUCACCUCGCAGUCACCUUUGCAUGUGACCUAAGGCAGUUUCAGCUAAGCGUUAGCAGUGAAGAGCAUAGCCAUUGAGCACACUGGUUUCUGGGCCCAAACCCCACAUUUUACUACCCAUGUGACACGGCACAAAUUAUCGAAAGUCUCUGUGCUUCACCAUCUGCCCAAAUAUGAUAUAACGUUAAUAAUACCCACCUAGGAAUUCUUAUCUAAGUAAAGUACACAUGAAUGUAAGAUGCCUGAAACAAUCAGUAAAUAGUAGCUAUUGUUGUUAAACAAGAUGGCCAGGGAGAUUACUGUUAUUUUUCUUUAAAGUGUAACCAGCACGUUAACAAUACUGUUUGCAUACUAAAUGAGUGUGUCAAUUACACAUAGUUAUUGACCCUUCCUUAAAGCUGAUGAGGUACACUAAUAUUUAGUUAGCUAAUUUUGUUGAACUGUAGAGGCAGCAUGGCUUGGUGGAAAGAUCUAGAUUCAAAUGCCAGCUCUAUUGUUCACUAAUUGCAAGCCUUAAAAAAAAAGAAAGGUGUUUAAUCUCUCGAUGCCUCAUCUGUUCUUUAAAAAGUGAGAAGAAAAAUACUUCAUUUUCAGGGUGGUAGUAAGAACUAAAUGAGAGAAUGCAAAUGCCUAGUGCAUAAUAGGUGUCUGUAAUAAAGGAUCGUUGACAAGACAGCACACAUUUACCUUACAGCAAUAAAAGUGCUCUCCAUUUUUAAUACCCUUUAAUUGUUUUCAUGAAUUCAUAGCAGCAUUCCUCCAAAUUAGUCUGAAUUUGUUAUGUUUUGUCAUGUGGUUUAAUUCCAAGUACAGCUAAAUGACAAGUGACCACGUAAGAAUGGUGCUGGGGGAGGGUAUCAUCUAAAACAGAUUAAUGUGGAUGCAGCUCUUUUAAAAAUAUCUAGGGGGGAAAACUCUAAAAUGUCUCUUGAACACACCUCAAGCUGUUAGAGAGAGGAAGCUUUUACGUUUAUCUUUUCUAAGGGUAAACGAUUGGGUUUAGAUUAAUUGAAAACAAGGAGGGGAAAAAAUGCACAGAUCUAUGUAAAACAGAGAGUGUCUAUGACAAGUGUUUCCAAAUACGUGGUUUCCAAAUAUGUAAUUGGUACAUUACAUAUCUCUGGCUUCUCUGAUUUCUAAAAAGCCAUGAAAGUUAAAUUAGGUUGAUUUAUUUCCGAAAGCGGUCAUUUGGAUUAUGUAUCAAUAAUGGGGCAUCAGUAUCCCUGAAAGCAAAAGAUUUAAAAUACAUAAAGAUAUUUUUAUGGCCCGCCGUGCCUAUUUCUAAAAUACUCUAAAUGUGAUACUGCCUUAGGCUGGCUUCCUUGGAAGGAGACACUGGGACAACAAUUCAUGUGCACGUGUGUGUUCUUAAGGAAGGGCUCCCCAUGGGCACCUAUUGGGAUGAGCACUGGGUGUUGUAUGGAAACCAAUUUGACAAUAAAUUUCACAUUAAAAAAAAGGAAGGGCUCCCCAAAAAAGAACUGGUAAGGAAGAGGGGAAAGCAGGACAGAGAAGGGAAAGAAAGCAAGCAAGGCUUUUUCCAUGGAGGACGGCUUUGGACCUGGUUCUGCAGGAGAACUCCGGAGGAUUCGUUAUGCUUAGAGUGGUCCCAGCUGGAAAAAAGCUGGAGCCUUUCUACAGCUGUGCCUGCUGGUCACUGAGCAGGGUCACUGGGAGAUGAGACAUGGUUCCCAGACACUUCCUGCCUUCUGGAGCAACUGGCCAGGGAGAGUCACAGGUGCUGGCCCUUGGAGGUAAAAGCACAAGGACACUGGGGGAAAGGCACAUCGCAACAGGAAAAAGUAACUUUUCAUGGAGCAGGGAGAGGAUGAAAAAAAUAAAGUCACAGCUUUCCUUUCAAUUAUUCCAAAGCAAUUUUUUUCUUUCAUUAUACCCCAGUUUUUCUCUUAUGAGUGUUAUAAAUAUGAA
Molecule: long non-coding RNA, 4419 nt
Organism: Acinonyx jubatus (cheetah)
Lineage: Eukaryota; Metazoa; Chordata; Mammalia; Carnivora; Felidae
Exons: 3
Source: RefSeq, a predicted model, not a curated record